GUGUGUGUGUGUGUGUGUGUGUGUGUGCGCGCAUAUAUAUAUAUAUAUAUAUAUAUGUGCGCACACACACACACACACACAC
Molecule: microRNA precursor, 82 nt
Filed under: Pelobates cultripes (western spadefoot toad)
Lineage: Eukaryota; Metazoa; Chordata; Amphibia; Anura; Pelobatidae
Source: RNAcentral